RNAcentral lists this long non-coding RNA (2168 nucleotides) under Homo sapiens (human). Its description in RNAcentral is "non-protein coding LINC01829:43". Lineage: Eukaryota; Metazoa; Chordata; Mammalia; Primates; Hominidae. The record is from RNAcentral.
AAAUCUAAAAAGAGCCUCUCACCUGAGGCCUUCACCUGAGAGCUGGAGCCUGUGCGAUGGAUUAUCUGGACAGGGACCCCAAUGAACAGGUGGAAAAGUACAUUUAUCUGCCUAAGGCUUGGAAUGAAAAUUGGGGGUGGGGUGGGUAGAGGCAGAUUUUACUCUUCUUCAGAUUCUUUUCUCUGUCUCCCAGUGGGCACAGGCUGAGCCUUGCGGGGAUAGAAGAGAGAUAGAGAGGUUAGGCCCUGGUUCUCUGUGUAGGGUGGUAUGCAUGUGUGUGUGGAGGGAUAUGGGUGUGAGUGUGCUGUGUAUAUGUGUGGAAAGCGUGUGUGUAGGUGUGUUAGAAGCGUGUGUGGGUGAAUAUGUGUGUGGGGUGGUGGGGAGUGUGUGUGUGGGGGUGAAUAUGUGUGUGUGGGGUGGUGGGGAGUGUGUGUAUGGGUGUGUGUGGGGGAAUGUGGGUGUGUGGAUGUGUGUGUGGGUAGGGAGUGUGUGUGUAUGGGGUUGUGUAUAUGUGGGGGAAAUGUGUGUAUGGGUGUGUGGGUAUGUAUGUGUUUACGGUGAAUAUGUGUGUGAGGAGAGUAAGUGCAUGUAUGAGUAUGUGUGUCUGUAUGUGGGUAUAUGUGUGGGGUAUGUGUGUGUGGGGUUUGUGUUUUGGGGGGGUGUAUGUGGGUGUGUAUAUGUGGGUAUGUAUGUGGGGUGUGUGGGUGUGUAUGUGUCGGGGGGAAGUAUGUGGGUACGUGUGGGGGGAUGUAUGUGCGUAUGUGUGUGGGGUGUGUGGAUGUGGGUGUGUGUGUCUGUGGGUGUGUGUAUAUGUGGGUAUGUGUGUGGGGUGUGUGUGGGAAGUGUGUGUAUGUAUGUAAGGUGUAUGUGGGUGUGGGUGUAUUUGGAUGUGUAUGUGUGUGGGGUUUUGGAUGUGUAUGGGUGUGGGGGGAGUAUGUGCAUGUGGAGGGGUGUGUGUGUGGUGUGCAUAUAUGUGUUGGGGAAGUAUGUAUAUGUAUGUGUUUAUGUGGGUAUGUAUGUGUGGGGAGUUAUACGUGUGUGUGGAGGGGUGUAUGUGGGUGUGUAUAUGUGUGUAUGGGAGAAGUAUAUGUGGGUGUGUAUGUAAGUCGGGUAUGUGUGGGGAGUGUGUGUAUGUAUGUGGGGGUAUAUGUGUGUGUGGUGUGUAUGUAUGUUGGUGGGUGUGUAUGUGUAUGGAGUGUAUAUGUGGGUGUGUAUGUGUGUGGGGUAUGUGUAUGUGUGUGGGGAAAGUGUGGAUGUGACUGUGGGUGUGUAUGUGUGUGUAGGGGGAGUGUGUGUAUGAUGUGUGUGUGGCUGUGUGUGUGUAUGGGGGAAGUAUGUGUUUAUGUGGGUGUGUAUGUGAGUGGAGUGUGUAGGGAGUGUGUGUAUGUAUGUGGGGUGUGUGUAUGUGGGUGUGUAUGUGUGUAUCUGUGGGUGUUUAUGUUUGUGGGGUGUGUGUAUAUGUGGGUAUGUGUGUGUGUGUGUGUCUGUGGGUGUUUAUGUGUGUGGGGUGUGUAUGUGUGGGGGUGUAUGUGGGGGGACCUGUGGGUGUGUGGGUGGUGUCAGGGGAGCCUGGAUGGAGCCCCAGGACAGCCUGCUGAGGGUGGAAGCCUGGAUGGCAGAUGCUCAGGUCUGACUGCUGGGCUGCAGGGAAGAAAGAAAUGCCAAGCUGAACUCGCAGGUAGGGAGGAGGAGAGGUGGGACAGUGACAGGUCACUAAAGAAAAAGCAUUCUGAGAAAAGCCUGUGCUCCUUACGGUAUGCUGCAGGGGCUGAGCCUGCGUCCCUGCUGACACCCUCUGGGAACCCCCAUCGCAAGCCUCACCUUGUUGCUUCUCACUGGGGCCGUUUUCGGUUGGCGCUGCUUCUCUUUGUUCUGUUGUCCCCCAGUGCAGUGAACCCUUACAUUAUGGGUUUCUCUUGUAGUUCUAACCUCUAAUACUCAACCAUUACAUCUUAUCUCGUCUUCUAAAUUACUCUAAAAUCCAAUUAUAAAACCCUCUCUCCUUCAAGAGCACACAACUUGCCACAUUACUGAAAUGCUGGGCUGCUCUUUUGUUUUUCUAAAUUAAUAAUAACUAUACCAUUUUCCGUCUGCUCUUACCAUGGGACUCUUUUAUAUCACCACAUAAAAUGCAUAUUAUGAUUCUUUUUGCUUCUUUUCUGGGCUGC